CUAGCCGUAAACGAUGGAUACUAGGCGUUGAGAGGAUCGACCCUCGCAGUGCCGUAGCUAACGCGUUAAGUAUCCCGCCUGGGGAGUACGCGCGCAAGCGUGAAACUCAAAGGAAUUGACGGGGGCCCGCACAAGCGGUGGAGUAUGUGGUUUAAUUCGAUGCAGCGCGAAGAACCUUACCAGGGCUUGACAUGUCCGGAACCCUGCCCAAAGGUGGGGGUGCCUACGGGAGCCGGAGCACAGGUGGUGC
Molecule: ribosomal RNA, 250 nt
Filed under: uncultured Chroococcidiopsis sp.
Lineage: Bacteria; Bacillati; Cyanobacteriota; Cyanophyceae; Chroococcidiopsidales; Chroococcidiopsidaceae
Description: partial 16S ribosomal RNA
Rfam family: Bacterial small subunit ribosomal RNA
Source: RNAcentral